AUAUCAUGAUGUGGGCACUUCCUCAAUAACUCCUUGAAUCUGUCACAAGAAUCACACACCGACUCAUUCUCAAACUGUUGAAAAGAAAUAAUCUUAUAUUGAAACU
Molecule: small nucleolar RNA, 106 nt
Organism: Humulus lupulus (European hop)
Lineage: Eukaryota; Viridiplantae; Streptophyta; Magnoliopsida; Rosales; Cannabaceae
Source: RefSeq, a predicted model, not a curated record